Molecule: ribosomal RNA, 245 nt
Filed under: uncultured bacterium
Lineage: Bacteria
Description: partial 16S ribosomal RNA
Rfam family: Bacterial small subunit ribosomal RNA
Source: RNAcentral
UACGAAGGGGGCUAGCGUUGUUCGGAAUCACUGGGCGUAAAGCGCACGUAGGCGGAUCUUUAAGUCAGAGGUGAAAGCCUGGAGCUCAACUCCAGAACUGCCUUUGAUACUGGGGAUCUUGAGUCCGGUAGAGGUGAGUGGAACUGCUAGUGUAGAGGUGAAAUUCGUAGAUAUUAGCAAGAACACCAGUGGCGAAGGCGGCUCACUGGACCGGUACUGACGCUGAGGUGCGAAAGCGUGGGGAG